Molecule: transfer RNA, 77 nt
Filed under: Salmonella enterica
Lineage: Bacteria; Pseudomonadati; Pseudomonadota; Gammaproteobacteria; Enterobacterales; Enterobacteriaceae
Also listed under: 3 other names
Description: tRNA-Lys
Rfam family: tRNA
About the family: Transfer RNA (tRNA) molecules are approximately 80 nucleotides in length. Their secondary structure includes four short double-helical elements and three loops (D, anti-codon, and T loops).
Source: RNAcentral
GGUCCUUUAGCUCAGUUGGUCAGAGCGAGUGAUUCUUAAUCACCCGGUCGCUGGUUCAAAUCCAGCAAGGACCAUCA